This 412-nucleotide ribosomal RNA is filed under the name uncultured Leptolyngbya sp. Its description in RNAcentral is "bacterial SSU rRNA". It matches the Rfam family "Bacterial small subunit ribosomal RNA", at positions 325 to 751 of the family's 1533-position model. Lineage: Bacteria; Bacillati; Cyanobacteriota; Cyanophyceae; Leptolyngbyales; Leptolyngbyaceae. The record is from RNAcentral. RNAcentral also lists the same sequence under 1 other name.
CACGGCCCAGACUCUUCCGGGGGGCACCAGUGGGGAUUUUUCCCCAAGGGGGGAAACCUGGAGGGACCAAGCCGGCGUGAGGGAGAAAGCUUUGUGGUUUUUAACCCUCUUUUGUUAGGGAAGAAGAAAUGACGGUACCUAUCGAAUCAGCCUCGGCUAACUCCGUGCCAGCAGCCGCGGUAAUACGGAGGAGGCAAGCGUUAUCCGGAAUUAUUGGGCGUAAAGCGUCCGUAGGUGGUUAUUCAAGUCAGUUGUCAAAGAGCGGAGCUUAACUCCGUAAAGGCAAUUGAAACUGACAGGCUAGAGUGCGAUAGGGGCAAGGGGAAUUCCCAGUGUAGCGGUGAAAUGCGUAGAUAUUGGGAAGAACACCGGUGGCGAAAGCGCUCUUGCUGGGUCUGCACUGACACUGAGG